Lycium ferocissimum is the source of this 741-nucleotide long non-coding RNA. RefSeq lists it as uncharacterized. The transcript has 3 exons. NCBI's taxonomy places the organism in Eukaryota, Viridiplantae, Streptophyta, Magnoliopsida, Solanales, Solanaceae. The record is from RefSeq and is a predicted model, not a curated record.
CUCAUCUCGAAUCACUUCAACUUGGCAAAAUUUAACUUCAGAUACCAUGUUUAAAGUUAUAUGGCUGAAUUUCAAUAAUUUUUGCAUGACUUAAGCUAUUUCUGUCUGAAGUUCAUUCACAUAUGAUAUAAGUUCAACAAAAAUGACUGAACUUCUGUCACAUAUGGAUGAAGUUUAGGCAAAAACGACUUAUUUUCAUGUAGAAAACAUGAAUGCGCCCCAAAUCUUAACACCAAUACUAAGUGAGCUGCCAUCACAAUAACAACAACCAACGUGCACACCGCAAGGGAGGUACCAAGUCAAUGAUUCAUGAGGAAUGGAUCUAGGUCCGAAUGAGCACAUUAUUAUCAUAUUUGAUUUUGUCAAGCCUAAUUCACAUUCCGUAUAUCUGGAAUCGGUAAAUUUGCAAAUGUUAAGGGAAAAAUGGAUACAAGUUAAGUAAAUGGCGGUGUCAAAACAACCCGUUUACCCAAAAAUGAGAAAAUGUGAGAAAUUGUGGGCUCAAUUAUGGGUCUAAUUGUGUGUGGUGGAUGUCAUUAUCAUUAGGGCCAUGCUAAGAUCCUUGAUGAGCUGAGAGCUCAUAAUGACGCUAGACAGUGACGGCCCACCAUUUCAAUUUUUACAACAGAAUGCUAUCCUAUCUAUUUUGCUUUGUUGUCUAUCUCAAAUUUCCUCUUUUAUCCUUGUACAUUGUUCGAGUUUUGUGAUCUUUUUUCUGGCGUCUGCGAUGUGAUUGAAACU